ACUCCUACGGGAGGCAGCAGGUGGGAAUAUUGCACGAAUGGGGAAACCCUGAUGCAGCCAUGCCGCGUGUGUGAAGAAGGCCUUCGGGUUGUAAAGCACUUUCAGUAGGGAGGAAGGUAGUGUAGUUAACACCUGCAUUAUUUGACGUUACCUACAGAAGAAGCACCGGCUAACUCCGUGCCAGCAGCCGCGGUAAUACGGAGGGUGCGAGCGUUAAUCGGAAUUACUGGGCGUAAAGCGCAUGCAGGCGGCCUGUUAAGUCAGAUGUGAAAGCCCGGGGCUUAACCUCGGAAUUGCAUUUGAAACUGGCAGGCUAGAGUCUUGUAGAGGGGGGUAGAAUUUCAGGUGUAGCGGUGAAAUGCGUAGAGAUCUGAAGGAAUACCAGUGGCGAAGGCCGGCCCCCUGGACAAAGACUGACGCUCAGAUGCGAAAGCGUGGGGAGC
Molecule: ribosomal RNA, 443 nt
Filed under: uncultured bacterium
Lineage: Bacteria
Description: bacterial SSU rRNA
Rfam family: Bacterial small subunit ribosomal RNA
Source: RNAcentral